CCGCGGUAAUACAGAGGGUGCAAGCGUUAAUCGGAAUUACUGGGCGUAAAGCGUGCGUAGUCGGCCAUUCAAGUCGGGUGUGAAAGCCCCGGGCUCAACCUGGGAAUUGCAUUCGAUACUGUGUGGCUAGAGUUCGGCAGAGGGAAGUGGAAUUUCCGGUGUAGCGGUGAAAUGCGUAGAUAUCGGAAGGAACAUCAGUGGCGAAAGCGACUUCCUGGACCAGAACUGACGAUCAGGCACGAAAGCGUGGGGAGCAAACAGG
This 262-nucleotide ribosomal RNA is filed under the name uncultured bacterium. Its description in RNAcentral is "partial 16S ribosomal RNA". It matches the Rfam family "Bacterial small subunit ribosomal RNA", at positions 515 to 776 of the family's 1533-position model. The record is from RNAcentral.